CCUCGCACUGCGCCAGCACCUUGCCACCGGCCACCCUUCGUCGCUGUGCUGCCUGCGUAGCUUCUCGCUACCUCUCGGCCACGCCGCAUCUCGCUGUGCCGCUUCCACUGCUGGCCGCCGCACCUCGCCUCUUCGUCGCCUCCCGCGUAGCCGCACUCGCCGCUGUGAGCCGCCCCUCGCUUGCCUCGCCACCGCGGCCUUGCGCCGUCGUCGGCACC
This 218-nucleotide long non-coding RNA is filed under the name Oryza brachyantha (malo sina). Its description in RNAcentral is "long non-coding RNA (OBRA_LNC003430)". The record is from RNAcentral. Lineage: Eukaryota; Viridiplantae; Streptophyta; Magnoliopsida; Poales; Poaceae.